This 587-nucleotide ribosomal RNA is filed under the name uncultured bacterium. RNAcentral describes it as "bacterial SSU rRNA". It matches the Rfam family "Bacterial small subunit ribosomal RNA", at positions 338 to 916 of the family's 1533-position model. The record is from RNAcentral.
CCUACGGGAGGCAGCAGUGGGGAAUUUUGGACAAUGGGCGCAAGCCUGAUCCAGCCAUUCCGCGUGAGUGAAGAAGGCCUUCGGGUUGUAAAGCUCUUUCGCAAGGGAAGAAACGAUUUAGGUGAAUAAUCUAAGUUAAUGACGGUACCUUGAUAAGAAGCACCGGCUAACUACGUGCCAGCAGCCGCGGUAAUACGUAGGGUGCGAGCGUUAAUCGGAAUUACUGGGCGUAAAGCGUGCGCAGGCUGUUUUGUAAGUCAGAUGUGAAAUCCCCGAGCUCAACUUGGGAACUGCGUUUGAAACUACAAGACUAGAAUAUGUCAGAGGGGGGUAGAAUUCCACGUGUAGCAGUGAAAUGCGUAGAGAUGUGGAGGAAUAUCAAUGGCGAAGGCAGCCCCCUGGGAUAAUAUUGACGCUCAUGCACGAAAGCGUGGGGAGCAAACAGGAUUAGAUACCCUGGUAGUCCACGCCCUAAACGAUGUCAACUAGUUGUUGGUAGAGUAAAAUCUAUGAGUAACGCAGCUAACGCGUGAAGUUGACCGCCUGGGGAGUACGAUCGCAAGAUUAAAACUCAAAGGAAUUGACGG